This 253-nucleotide ribosomal RNA is filed under the name uncultured bacterium. RNAcentral's name for it is "partial 16S ribosomal RNA". It matches the Rfam family "Bacterial small subunit ribosomal RNA", at positions 524 to 776 of the family's 1533-position model. The record is from RNAcentral.
UACGUAGGGGGCUAGCGUUGUCCGGAACCAUUGGGCGUAAAGCGCGUGUAGGCGGUUCGGUAAGUCCGCUGUGAAAGUCGGGGGCUCAACCCUCGGAUGCCGGUGGAUACUGUCGGACUAGAGUACGGAAGAGGCGAGUGGAAUUCCUGGUGUAGCGGUGAAAUGCGCAGAUAUCAGGAGGAACACCAAUUGCGAAGGCAGCUCGCUGGGACGUUACUGACGCUGAGACGCGAAAGCGUGGGGAGCAAACAGG